Molecule: ribosomal RNA, 773 nt
Filed under: uncultured Streptococcus sp.
Lineage: Bacteria; Bacillati; Bacillota; Bacilli; Lactobacillales; Streptococcaceae
Description: bacterial SSU rRNA
Rfam family: Bacterial small subunit ribosomal RNA
Source: RNAcentral
GACGAACGCUGGCGGCGUGCCUAAUACAUGCAAGUAGAACGCACAGUUUAUACCGUAGCUUGCUACACCAUAGACUGUGAGUUGCGAACGGGUGAGUAACGCGUAGGUAACCUGCCUGGUAGCGGGGGAUAACUAUUGGAAACGAUAGCUAAUACCGCAUAAUAUUAAUUAUUGCAUGAUAAUUGAUUGAAAGAUGCAACUGCAUCACUACCAGAUGGACCUGCGUUGUAUUAGCUAGUAGGUGAGGUAACGGCUCACCUAGGCGACGAUACAUAGCCGACCUGAGAGGGUGAUCGGCCACACUGGGACUGAGACACGGCCCAGACUCCUACGGGAGGCAGCAGUAGGGAAUCUUCGGCAAUGGACGAAAGUCUGACCGAGCAACGCCGCGUGAGUGAAGAAGGUUUUCGGAUCGUAAAGCUCUGUUGUAAGAGAAGAACGGGUGUGAGAGUGGAAAGUUCACACUGUGACGGUAUCUUACCAGAAAGGGACGGCUAACUACGUGCCAGCAGCCGCGGUAAUACGUAGGUCCCGAGCGUUGUCCGGAUUUAUUGGGCGUAAAGCGAGCGCAGGCGGUUAGAUAAGUCUGAAGUUAAAGGCUGUGGCUUAACCAUAGUACGCUUUGGAAACUGUUUAACUUGAGUGCAGAAGGGGAGAGUGGAAUUCCAUGUGUAGCGGUGAAAUGCGUAGAUAUACGGAGGAACACCGGUGGCGAAAGCGGCUCUCUGGUCUGUAACUGACGCUGAGGCUCGAAAGCGUGGGGAGCGAACAGG